GCGUGAAUUGAACAAGAGUCAAGAGAGGACACCCACCUUCACCCCUGAGUGUUAUCUGCAGGAGGAUUGAAAGACCUCAGCCAGGAAAGCCAGAGGCGGGCCAUCGCUUUUGGAUUACAGACAAGGGCUGCGGUCUUCUCCUCCCCCGUGCCCUGUGUUUCCUGCUGCAGAAGAACUGGGGAGCUAUGCCAGAAAAACCUGACAGCCGUUCAUCAAGCCCCUGUUCGGGUUGCAUCCUGUCCUGUACUAAGUACUACAGAGAGGAGAAGAGAGAGGUACAGGGUGUCCCAAAAGUCUCAGUGCAGUUUCAAGCCAUUAGAGCUUUGGGACACCCUGCUGUCUCUCUGCCCUGGAGGAGUCUGCAGCCCAGAGGGCAGAGACAGUAAUUUCCUGCAUCUUUGUCCACUAUUUCAGCAAAUGUUUUCAAUAAAAAUAAUAAAUUAAAGACCUGAAAUUCCCA
This 460-nucleotide long non-coding RNA is filed under the name Phascolarctos cinereus (koala). RNAcentral describes it as "lncRNA (ENSPCIG00000033846.1)". The record is from RNAcentral. Lineage: Eukaryota; Metazoa; Chordata; Mammalia; Diprotodontia; Phascolarctidae.